CCAAUAGCGUAUAUUAAAGUUGCUGCAGUUAAAAAGCUCGUAGUUGAAUUUCGGGAUCAAUUUACUGGUCGUGCCUACGGUACGUACUGGUUUUGUUGAUUCCUCUCUUCUGAGGAGCCGUGAUGUCAUUAACUUGGUGUCGCGGGGAAUCAGGACUAUUACUUUGAAAAAAUUAGAGUGUUUAAAGCAGGCUAACGCUUGAAUACAUUAGCAUGGAAUAAUGAAAUAGGACGUUUGAUCCUAUUUUGUUGGUUUCUAGGAUCUACGUAAUGAUUAAUAGGGAUAGUUGGGGGCAUUAGUAUUCAAUUGUCAGAGGUGAAAUUCUUGGAUUUAUUGAAGACUAACUACUGCGAAAGCAUUUGCCAAGGAUGUUUUCAUUAAUCAAGAACGAAAGUUAGGGGAUCGAAGACGAUCAGAUACCGUCGUAGUCUUAACCAUAAACUAUGCCGACUAGGGAUCGGAUGUUAAAUUUUUAAUAAAUCAUUCGGCGCCUUACG
Molecule: ribosomal RNA, 497 nt
Filed under: uncultured Glomeromycotina
Lineage: Eukaryota; Fungi; Glomeromycota
Description: partial small subunit ribosomal RNA
Rfam family: Eukaryotic small subunit ribosomal RNA
Source: RNAcentral